Molecule: ribosomal RNA, 506 nt
Filed under: uncultured bacterium
Lineage: Bacteria
Description: partial 16S ribosomal RNA
Rfam family: Bacterial small subunit ribosomal RNA
Source: RNAcentral
AUUGAACGCUGGCGGCAUGCCUUACACAUGCAAGUCGAACGGCAGCAUGAUCUAGCUUGCUAGAUUGAUGGCGAGUGGCGAACGGGUGAGUAAUACAUCGGAACGUGCCCUGUAGUGGGGGAUAACUAGUCGAAAGAUUAGCUAAUACCGCAUACGACCUGAGGGUGAAAGUGGGGGACCGCAAGGCCUCAUGCUAUAGGAGCGGCCGAUGUCUGAUUAGCUAGUUGGUGGGGUAAAGGCCCACCAAGGCGACGAUCAGUAGCUGGUCUGAGAGGACGAUCAGCCACACUGGGACUGAGACACGGCCCAGACUCCUACGGGAGGCAGCAGUGGGGAAUUUUGGACAAUGGGGGCAACCCUGAUCCAGCAAUGCCGCGUGUGUGAAGAAGGCCUUCGGGUUGUAAAGCACUUUUGUCCGGAAAGAAAUCGCACUUACUAAUAUUAGGUGUGGAUGACGGUACCGGAAGAAUAAGGACCGGCUAACUACGUGCCAGCCGCCGCCGUAA